This 430-nucleotide unclassified non-coding RNA is filed under the name soil metagenome. Its description in RNAcentral is "partial contains 5.8S ribosomal RNA, internal transcribed spacer 2, and large subunit ribosomal RNA". The stretch from base 1 to 120 matches the Rfam family "5.8S ribosomal RNA", at positions 35 to 154 of the family's 154-position model. The record is from RNAcentral.
GAUGAAGAACGCAGCGAAAUGCGAUACGUAAUGUGAAUUGCAGAAUUCAGUGAAUCAUCGAAUCUUUGAACGCAUAUUGCGCUCUCUGGUAUUCCGGAGAGCAUGCUUGUUUGAGUAUCAGUAAACACCUCAACUCCCUUUUCUUUUUUGAAAUGGGAGCUGGACUUGAGUGAUCCCAACGCUUUUCUCACCGGAAAGUGGCGGGUUACUUGAAAUGCAGGUGCAGCUGGACUUUUCUCUGAGCUAUAGGCAUAUCAAUUUAGUCUGCCUAAAAACAGAUUAUUACCUUUGCUGCAGCUAACAUAAAGGAGAUUAGUUCUUGUGCUGACUGAUGCAGGAUUCACAGAGACAGCUUCGGCUGACUUUGUAAACUCGAUCUCAAAUCAAGUAAGACUACCCGCCGAACUUAAGCAUAUCAAUAAGCGGAGGA